This 460-nucleotide ribosomal RNA is filed under the name uncultured bacterium. Its description in RNAcentral is "partial 16S ribosomal RNA". It matches the Rfam family "Bacterial small subunit ribosomal RNA", at positions 338 to 795 of the family's 1533-position model. The record is from RNAcentral.
CCUACGGGAGGCAGCAGUGAGGAAUAUUGGUCAAUGGGCGUAAGCCUGAACCAGCCAAGUCGCGUGAGGGAUGAAGGUUCUACGGAUCAUAAACCUCUUUUAUAAGGGAAUAAAGUGUGGCACGUGUCCUUUUUUGUAUGUACUUUAUGAAUAAGGAUCGGCUAACUCCGUGCCAGCAGCCGCGGUAAUACGGAGGUUCCGGGCGUUAUCCGGAUUUAUUGGGUUUAAAGGGAGUGUAGGCGGGACUUUAAGCGUGCCGUGAAAUCUUGUGGCUCAACCUUGGGAGUGCGGCGCAAACUGGAGGCCUGGAGUACGCGGAAGGCAGACGGAAUUCCUGGUGUAGCGGUGAAAUGCGUAGAUAUCACGAAGAACCCCAGUUGCGAAGGCGGCCUGCCGGAGAGUUACUGACGCUGAAGCUCGAAAGCGCGGGUAUCGAACAGGAUUAGAUACCCGAGUAGUC